UCUCCGGUAGCUCAGUUGGUUAGAGCUUUGUGCUUAUGUUGUUUCCUUUUAUCUCACAAGGGUCGGGAGUUCGACUCUCCUCCGGAGAA
Molecule: non-coding RNA, 89 nt
Organism: Saitozyma sp. JCM 24511
Lineage: Eukaryota; Fungi; Basidiomycota; Tremellomycetes; Tremellales; Trimorphomycetaceae
Source: the annotation of a GenBank genome assembly